AGCUAUGUAUGUUAAGGUAAAAAGGCAGUUAGAUAACUAACAUUAUUAGUUUACUCAUUCCUUAUAUAAAGGUAAAAUUUAGAUAUAAGUGAAUAAUUUAAUGUAAGUUAAUAGAGAUUGAAUCUGCGACAGCCUUGAGGGAAACUGGGAUUAGAUACCCCAUUAUUCUUGGUCAUAAAUGAAUAAUAGUUUACCGGAGUACUAUGAAUCUCUAAUAAAAUUUAAAACUCAAAGGGCUUGGCGGUGUUUUAGACCUCUCAGGGGAACCUGUCUCAUAAUCGACAAUCCACGUUAAACCUAACCUCUAUUUGCAAUUCAGUUUGUAUACCGUCGUCGUCAGGUAACUUUUAAAAAGUAAGAAGUUGGCAGUAAAAUUAGAUAAAUUUAGACGUCAGAUCAAGGUGCAGCCUAUACAGAGGUGAGGAUGGGUUACAAUUAAAAUUUAUAAUUACGAAUAGGAUAAUGAAAUACUUCUCCUAAUGAAGGAGGACUUGAAAGUAAAAUAGAUU
Molecule: ribosomal RNA, 509 nt
Filed under: Ranellidae sp. MNHN-IM-2007-43068
Lineage: Eukaryota; Metazoa; Mollusca; Gastropoda; Littorinimorpha; Ranellidae
Description: partial 12S ribosomal RNA
Rfam family: Bacterial small subunit ribosomal RNA
Source: RNAcentral